RNAcentral lists this ribosomal RNA (492 nucleotides) under uncultured bacterium. RNAcentral describes it as "partial 16S ribosomal RNA". It matches the Rfam family "Bacterial small subunit ribosomal RNA", at positions 29 to 507 of the family's 1533-position model. The record is from RNAcentral.
AGUGAACGCUGGCGGUAGGCCUAACACAUGCAAGUCGAACGGCAGCACAGUAAGAGCUUGCUCUUACGGGUGGCGAGUGGCGGACGGGUGAGGAAUACAUCGGAAUCUACUUUUUCGUGGGGGAUAACGUAGGGAAACUUACGCUAAUACCGCAUACGACCUACGGGUGAAAGCAGGGGAUCUUCGGACCUUGCGCGAUUGUAUGAGCCGAUGUCGGAUUAGCUAGUUGGCGGGGUAAAGGCCCACCAAGGCGACGAUCCGUAGCUGGUCUGAGAGGAUGAUCAGCCAAACUGGAACUGAGAGACGGUCCAGACUCCUACGGGAGGCAGCAGUGGGGAAUAUUGGACAAUGGGCGCAAGCCUGAUCCAGCAAUACCGCGUGGGUGAAGAAGGCCUUCGGGUUGUAAAGCCCUUUUGUUGGGAAAGAAAAGCAGCAGGUUAAUACCCCGCUGUUCUGACGGUACCCAAAGAAUAAGCACCGGCUAACUUCGUG